This 1764-nucleotide ribosomal RNA is filed under the name Staphylococcus aureus. RNAcentral describes it as "bacterial LSU rRNA". It matches the Rfam family "Bacterial large subunit ribosomal RNA", at positions 397 to 2165 of the family's 2925-position model. The record is from RNAcentral. Lineage: Bacteria; Bacillati; Bacillota; Bacilli; Caryophanales; Staphylococcaceae.
UUGAGUGGAUCCUGAGUACGACGGAGCACGUGAAAUUCCGUCGGAAUCUGGGAGGACCAUCUCCUAAGGCUAAAUACUCUCUAGUGACCGAUAGUGAACCAGUACCGUGAGGGAAAGGUGAAAAGCACCCCGGAAGGGGAGUGAAAUAGAACCUGAAACCGUGUGCUUACAAGUAGUCAGAGCCCGUUAAUGGGUGAUGGCGUGCCUUUUGUAGAAUGAACCGGCGAGUUACGAUUUGAUGCAAGGUUAAGCAGUAAAUGUGGAGCCGUAGCGAAAGCGAGUCUGAAUAGGGCGUUUAGUAUUUGGUCGUAGACCCGAAACCAGGUGAUCUACCCUUGGUCAGGUUGAAGUUCAGGUAACACUGAAUGGAGGACCGAACCGACUUACGUUGAAAAGUGAGCGGAUGAACUGAGGGUAGCGGAGAAAUUCCAAUCGAACCUGGAGAUAGCUGGUUCUCUCCGAAAUAGCUUUAGGGCUAGCCUCAAGUGAUGAUUAUUGGAGGUAGAGCACUGUUUGGACGAGGGGCCCCUCUCGGGUUACCGAAUUCAGACAAACUCCGAAUGCCAAUUAAUUUAACUUGGGAGUCAGAACAUGGGUGAUAAGGUCCGUGUUCGAAAGGGAAACAGCCCAGACCACCAGCUAAGGUCCCAAAAUAUAUGUUAAGUGGAAAAGGAUGUGGCGUUGCCCAGACAACUAGGAUGUUGGCUUAGAAGCAGCCAUCAUUUAAAGAGUGCGUAAUAGCUCACUAGUCGAGUGACACUGCGCCGAAAAUGUACCGGGGCUAAACAUAUUACCGAAGCUGUGGAUUGUCCUUUGGACAAUGGUAGGAGAGCGUUCUAAGGGCGUUGAAGCAUGAUCGUAAGGACAUGUGGAGCGCUUAGAAGUGAGAAUGCCGGUGUGAGUAGCGAAAGACGGGUGAGAAUCCCGUCCACCGAUUGACUAAGGUUUCCAGAGGAAGGCUCGUCCGCUCUGGGUUAGUCGGGUCCUAAGCUGAGGCCGACAGGCGUAGGCGAUGGAUAACAGGUUGAUAUUCCUGUACCACCUAUAAUCGUUUUAAUCGAUGGGGGGACGCAGUAGGAUAGGCGAAGCGUGCGAUUGGAUUGCACGUCUAAGCAGUAAGGCUGAGUAUUAGGCAAAUCCGGUACUCGUUAAGGCUGAGCUGUGAUGGGGAGAAGACAUUGUGUCUUCGAGUCGUUGAUUUCACACUGCCGAGAAAAGCCUCUAGAUAGAAAAUAGGUGCCCGUACCGCAAACCGACACAGGUAGUCAAGAUGAGAAUUCUAAGGUGAGCGAGCGAACUCUCGUUAAGGAACUCGGCAAAAUGACCCCGUAACUUCGGGAGAAGGGGUGCUCUUUAGGGUUAACGCCCAGAAGAGCCGCAGUGAAUAGGCCCAAGCGACUGUUUAUCAAAAACACAGGUCUCUGCUAAACCGUAAGGUGAUGUAUAGGGGCUGACGCCUGCCCGGUGCUGGAAGGUUAAGAGGAGUGGUUAGCUUCUGCGAAGCUACGAAUCGAAGCCCCAGUAAACGGCGGCCGUAACUAUAACGGUCCUAAGGUAGCGAAAUUCCUUGUCGGGUAAGUUCCGACCCGCACGAAAGGCGUAACGAUUUGGGCACUGUCUCAACGAGAGACUCGGUGAAAUCAUAGUACCUGUGAAGAUGCAGGUUACCCGCGACAGGACGGAAAGACCCCGUGGAGCUUUACUGUAGCCUGAUAUUGAAAUUCGGCACAGCUUGUACAGGAUAGGUAGGAGCCUUUGAAACGU